This 376-nucleotide ribosomal RNA is filed under the name Bacillus sp. Fugerm1. RNAcentral's name for it is "bacterial SSU rRNA". It matches the Rfam family "Bacterial small subunit ribosomal RNA", at positions 429 to 796 of the family's 1533-position model. Lineage: Bacteria; Bacillati; Bacillota; Bacilli; Caryophanales; Bacillaceae. The record is from RNAcentral.
AACUCUGUUGUUAGGGAAGAACAAGUGCUAGUUGAAUAAGCUGGCACCUUGACGGUACCUAACCAGAAAGCCACGGCUAACUACGUGCCAGCAGCCGCGGUAAUACGUAGGUGGCAAGCGUUAUCCGGAAUUAUUGGGCGUAAAGCGCGCGCAGGUGGUUUCUUAAGUCUGAUGUGAAAGCCCACGGCUCAACCGUGGAGGGUCAUUGGAAACUGGGAGACUUGAGUGCAGAAGAGGAAAGUGGAAUUCCAUGUGUAGCGGUGAAAUGCGUAGAGAUAUGGAGGAACACCAGUGGCGAAGGCGACUUUCUGGUCUGUAACUGACNCUGAGGCGCGAAAGCGUGGGGAGCAAACAGGAUUAGAUACCCUGGUAGUCA